Molecule: RNA transcript, 2011 nt
Organism: Olea europaea var. sylvestris
Lineage: Eukaryota; Viridiplantae; Streptophyta; Magnoliopsida; Lamiales; Oleaceae
Gene name: heparan-alpha-glucosaminide N-acetyltransferase-like
Exons: 14
Source: RefSeq, a predicted model, not a curated record
CAAUUUUUUAACUAAACUUUGUCAAACUGAAGAGGCGCAGAGGGGUGUGCCCUCAAAUUGACCGUUGACACAGGUGGGACUGGCCAAAAAAAGAUGGCCUCGAUCGUGGUGGUAACAGACACCGACGGCGGAGACCGCACUCCUCUACUUCAGAACUCACAACCUGAGGAUUCGCGGGGAGAUGUGACGGUCAGAGACGGAGAAACUGUCUAUUCGACGGCGCCAGUGGAGGAGCUACCAGAUAAAUCAGAGUCUAAUAUUUCAACUGAUCCUAAACAACGACUUGUCUCUCUCGACGUUUUCCGAGGCAUCACUAUCGCGCUGAUGAUUUUAGUUGAUGAUGCUGGAAAAGCUUUUCCAUCGAUAAACCACGCACCGUGGUUCGGAGUGACAAUCGCGGACUUUGUGAUGCCGUUUUUUCUCUUUGGUGUUGGUGUCUCUGUGAGUCUUGUGUUCAAGAAAGUACCUAACAAAUCAGCAGCUACAAAGAAAGUUAUAUUGAGGACCAUUAAGCUUUUUCUCUUGGGAGUAAUUCUUCAAGGUGGGUAUUUCCACGGACGCGGCCAUUUAACUUAUGGGGUGGAUGUGGAGAAAAUACGAUUGAUGGGUGUGCUACAGAGGAUCGCAAUUGGCUAUCUGUUGGCUUCACUAUUGGAGAUUUGGCUUAUUAAUAAUACUGUCGUUGAUUCAGCAGUGGCAUUUGUGAAGAGAUACUCUUUCCAGUUGGCAGCUGGAAUCUUACUAGGUUUAUUAUACAUGAUCCUGCUGUAUGGCCUAUAUGUUCCAAACUGGACCUUUGAAGUCUCAACUCUCAGCAUAACCUCCUCACUAUUUGGAGUUGGUACUCAAACUGUUCAAUGUGGAGUGAGGAGCAGUCUCGAACCUCCUUGCAAUGCGGUUGGCUUUCUUGAUCGAUUUCUUCUUGGUGAACAUCAUCUGUAUCAACGUCCUGUGUACAGAAGAACAAAGGAAUGCAGUGUCAACUCUCCAGAUUAUGGACCUCUACCUCCAAAUUCACCAGCGUGGUGCUUGGCUCCGUUUGACCCGGAGGGCAUCUUAAGCUCUAUGAUGGCUGCCAUUACAUGUUUAAUCGGAUUGCAUUAUGGGCACAUUCUUGUGCAUUGUAAGGACCAGAUGCAGAGGGUAAUUUUAUGGUCAAUAUUGUCGCUUCCUCUAUUAAUCGUUGGCUAUCUUUUGAAUGUUGUAGGUGUUCCUUUUUCUAAACCACUAUACACAUUAAGCUAUAUGUUCAUCACAGCUGGAGCAUCGGGAAUUUUUCUAACCAUUAUUUUCUACCUAGUCGAUGUCAAAUGUAUUAGGAAGCCGAUGGUAAUAUUUCAGUGGAUGGGAAUGAAUGCUCUCAUCAUUUAUGCUCUGGCUGCUAGUGACGUCUUUCCAGAAGCUCUGCAAGGUUUAUACUGGCGUUCACCUGAAAACAACCUGGUUGAUUUCUCCGAAAGGCUAUGGCAAACGUUGCUUCAUUCUGAAAAAUGGGGUACAUUGGCAUUUGUUAUGGUUGAGAUCUUAUUUUGGGGUUUAGUUGCUGGUUUCCUCCACAAGAAACGCGUAUAUAUAAAAAUAUAAGGUCUCUUUUAGGCAGUUUUCUUUUGAAUCAUUGAAGACCAAGAAAAUACCAGUGGUGGUACCCUCAAGGUAAUGAGGAGCUUGAAAAUGAUAACCACCUUGUUCGUAGCAUUGCUUUAUGGCAUUUUGUUCAUUAUCGAAUGGACAACUUAAAUGGCCUCUGGAUCUUCUUUAUCAAGGCCAAGUAUGGAACGGCUUGGGAAAAAGUGAAUGGGGUAACAGAUAAGAGAGAACCCUUUUUAUCUUGACUUCACCAAGAUAAGAGACCAGGAAUAGUUUUUUUUAAGAGAAAAUUGCAUCAUUUGUCCCCAAUAUAUUAUCCGAGUAGAAAAUUGGUCCUUGCCCUUUUAGAGGAUCGGGUUUUUACAAAUUCUUCAUCAUAAUUGCACAAUGAUCUAACAAUAGAAAUAGCCUAAAUAUUUGUUAA